RNAcentral lists this ribosomal RNA (1831 nucleotides) under Fidelibacterota bacterium. RNAcentral's name for it is "partial 23S ribosomal RNA". It matches the Rfam family "Bacterial large subunit ribosomal RNA", at positions 399 to 2189 of the family's 2925-position model. The record is from RNAcentral. Lineage: Bacteria; Pseudomonadati; Fidelibacterota.
AUACUAUUCUCAAGUAACACGGUACACGUGAAAUUCCGUGUGAAACUGCCAGGACCAUCUGGUAAGGCUAAAUACUCCCAUGUGACCGAUAGUGAACUAGUACCGUGAGGGAAAGGUGAAAAGUACUCCUAACGGAGAGUGAAAUAGAACCUGAAACUGUAUGCCUACAAGCGGUCGGAGUCCCGAUUUAUCGGGAUGACGGCGUGCCUUUUGCAUAAUGAGCCAGCGAGUUGCUCGUAUGUCGCAAGGUUAAGGUCUUAAAACCGGAGCCGUAGCGAAAGCAAGUCUGAAUAGGGCGAUUAAGUGACAUGCGGCAGACCCGAAGCCGAGUGAUCUAGCCAUGGCCAGGUUGAAGCGACAGUAACAUGUCGUGGAGGACCGAACCCACCAGGGUUGAAAACCUGGGGGAUGAGCUGUGGUUAGGGGUGAAAGGCCAAUCAAACUCGGCGAUAUCUGGUUCUCCCCGAAAUGCCUUUAGGGGCAGCGUUACGGUAGUAUCUUGGGGGUAGAGCACUGGAUGGACUAGGGGCCCUACAAGGUUACCAAACCCAACCAAACUCCGAAUACCAAGAUUAUGAUCCGUGGCAGUGAGGCCGUGGGGGAUAAGCUUCAUGGCCGAAAGGGAAACAACCCAGACCAACAGCUAAGGUCCCCAAAUCCGGGUUAAGUGACAAAGGAUGUGGGAUUGCUUAAACAGCUAGGAGGUUGGCUUAGAGGCAGCCAUCCUUUAAAGAAAGCGUAACAGCUCACUAGUCAAGGAAUCCUGCGCCGAUAAUCUCCGGGACUGAUAAACCCGGUACCGAAGCUAUGGUCUUUCCGAUUUAUCGGGAAGAGGUAGGGGAGCGUUCCAUUAACCUGUGAAGCCUUUGCCGGAAGGCGGGGUGGAGGAGAUGGAAGUGAGUAUGCUGGCAUAAGUAGCGAUAAACUCGAUGAAAUUUCGAGUCACCGAAAGCCUAAGGUUUCCUGAGUAAAGUAAAUCUGCUCAGGGUUAGUCGGACCCUAAGCCGAGGCCGAAAGGCGUAGGCGAUGGAUAACAGGUGAAUAUUCCUGUACUACCCUGUUGUUGUCUGAGUGAUGGGGGGACGCAGAAGUGAAAGGUCAGCCCGGUUUUGAUUGUCCGGGUUUAAGUGAGUAGGGGGUUCUGGUAGGCAAAUCCGCCGGAACUUAACCCCGAGACACGAAUAGGAGGGCCUAGCCCAUAAACUGACCCUAAUCAUGCUGCCAAGAAAAUCCUCUAAACAAGAUGACAGGGUAACCGUACCUCAAACCGACACAGGUAGGCGAGAUGAGUAUUCUAAGGUGCUUGGGUGAAUUCCAGUUAAGGAACUCGGCAAAUUGACCCCGUAACUUCGGGAGAAGGGGUGCCUCGAUUAGAUGAAAUCUCCUUCGGGCAGAUGGAGUCGAAAGAGGCCGCAGUGAAAUGGCUCGGGCGACUGUUUACUAAAAACACAGGUCUCUGCUAAGUCGUAAGACGAAAUAUAGGGACUGACACCUGCCCGGUGCCGGAAGGUUAAGGGAACGUGUUAUCCCGCUUCGGCGGGAGAAGCUCAGAACCGAAGCCCCGGUAAACGGCGGCCGUAACUAUAACGGUCCUAAGGUAGCGAAAUUCCUUGUCGGGUAAGUUCCGACCCGCACGAAUGGUGUAACGACUUGAGCGCUGUCUCUACUGGAAACCCAGCGAAAUUGUAGCGUCGGUGAAGAUACCGGCUACCCGCGGCAGGACGAAAAGACCCCGUGAACCUUUACUACAGCUUGACAUUGGGUUUUGGUUCUAUAUGUGUAGGAUAGGUGGGAGGCUAUGAAGUUUCAGCGCUAGUUGGAAUGGAGCCAU